Molecule: ribosomal RNA, 270 nt
Filed under: uncultured Lactobacillus sp.
Lineage: Bacteria; Bacillati; Bacillota; Bacilli; Lactobacillales; Lactobacillaceae
Description: partial 16S ribosomal RNA
Rfam family: Bacterial small subunit ribosomal RNA
Source: RNAcentral
GACGAACGCUGGCGGCAUGCCUAAUACAUGCAAGUCGAACGAGCUUCCGUUGAAUGACGUGCUUGCACUGAUUUCAACAAUGAAGCGAGUGGCGAACUGGUGAGUAACACGUGGGAAAUCUGCCCAGAAGCAGGGGAUAACACUUGGAAACAGGUGCUAAUACCGUAUAACAACAAAAUCCGCAUGGAUUUUGUUUGAAAGAUGGCUUCGGCUAUCACUUUUGGAUGGUCCCGCGGCGUAUUAGCUAGAUGGUGGGGUAACGGCUCACCA